CUUUGCAUCUUUCAUCACAUGAUUGUUGCAAACACAAUAAUAUUUAUAUGAACCCCAUUACAUCUAACAAUUUUGACCCAAGAGAGGUAGUUGUCCUUGAGACUCUUCGGCUCUCAACUGUCCAAAAAAAAAAAAAGGUAUGUUCUUGAAGCUAUAUAAAACACAUAGCCUCAUGCUAUGGUUUGUAACACUUUGGUCACACAAAAAAAGGCCUUUAAACUUUACUUGCUACUUUCUCCGGAUUAUUUUAUAUUUUGUGUUGUAUGGAAGUGAAUAUUAUUUUUGUAGUUAUUUUUUCUUAAGAAAAACGUUAUUCACACUCCUUAAGAAGCUUCGUAAUAUGCUUAUGGGAUAGUAGUUUUAUAUGAACUUCUUCCGAAUAAGAAAUUUCUUAGUAGUUUAAAAUAAGAUUGCAUUUUUAAAAAAAUAAUAAUAAUGACAAAAGAAUCUUUCUUCUUACUAAGUAAACAAGCUCAUGCAUUUUCGUAACUCAAAAUGACACACACACACCAAGCAAAGCUUUAAUGUCCCUGCCGGAGCAGAGUAGGUGAAAUCUGCCACAUGUAAAGUCGGAGUUUUGCAGACAACAAGAUCCAACGAAUUGUAUGUGUCCACGUGUCAAAUAUAUGAACAUUACAAAAAGGAAAAUUAAAACACACAAAAAUAAUUUUCCUACACAUGUGUGGGUACUAAUGCUUUGUUUGUAUGCAAUGGUAUAUUAAGAAAAUAAGGGCUCAUUUGAGACUGUUUCUCUAAGAAGUAUUUAUGCUCAUAAGUGUUUCUGGUAAAAAUGCUUUUAUUAUAAAAAUGUUGAAAUCUUCAUAAGAAAUCAAAGUGUUUUUUGAAAAAACACAUGUUAGGUGUUUCUCUAAAAAGAGUUUCUAAACUUUUUUGCCAAAUACUAUCAGAUAUGCUUGUGGUUGGCUGAAAGAGCUUUUAUCCCUUACAAAAGCACUCCCAAACAACCACAAGAUGUGGUGCUGUUGGCAAACUGCCACCUCCAGUUGGCGAGCUACUUGGUGCCUCAAUGACAAGGAUUCAAAACCCGUUGGAAGCAUUUUGUGGCGAGGGACAAGUCGAACUCUGAGCGGGGAUUGAUCACACCUUUCGUGUAUGAAGACACCUCGUAGUAUUUACCCAAAAAGCCCUCCCAAACAAUACAACAAUAAAAAUGCAAGGAAAUAAAUACAAAAUGUCAUAAAGAAAUGGAAGUAAAGGUGGAGAAAGUGACCGGCCCUUUUGUUUCUUCUUAUAUUGUAAUCGAUGAAAAGUGUGAGAGGCGCCGCUUCAAUAAGAGGAAGAGGAAAGAAUUGCAUUUUGUGCAUUUUCCCCAUUUCUAUAUAUUAUUCUGCAACAAUAAAAGAAUACUAAAAUAUCAUUUCCUUUAGUCUUUAUGAUCUCCUGGUUUAUGGGUAUGGGCCUAUUGCUAUAUGGUCCACAUUAUUAUUAUUAUUCUGAGAAAUGGCCCACAUUAAUUUAAGAAUUGAGUUUUAGAAAGUUGGUAGCUUUUGUAGCUUCUUCU
RNAcentral lists this long non-coding RNA (1522 nucleotides) under Prunus persica (peach). Its description in RNAcentral is "long non-coding RNA (PPER_LNC003987)". The record is from RNAcentral. Lineage: Eukaryota; Viridiplantae; Streptophyta; Magnoliopsida; Rosales; Rosaceae.